This 747-nucleotide long non-coding RNA is filed under the name Drosophila melanogaster (fruit fly). RNAcentral describes it as "long non-coding RNA:CR45519". Lineage: Eukaryota; Metazoa; Arthropoda; Insecta; Diptera; Drosophilidae. The record is from RNAcentral.
UUCCGCAAAACCUUUUUGUUCUGCAAUAUCUGUAUUUCUUUUUUUGUUUUCUUUUACUGUAAGCAAGACAAAUGGUCGACGCACGCACCGCCGGCUGCAUUUAAAAAUGGCCAAAAAGGAAAUGCAGCACGAUUCUGUCCAAAUGGAUGCCAGGAUACUAGGACUCCAGGACUUUGGGACGCCCGGAGAUCGGAACAGCAGGAUAACAGAUGGUGAGGCGCUGGUUCUUAGUGGCAAGUCAUAAAUGUCAGGAGCUUCUUAGACCCGAAAUCAUCCGAGACACACAUGCGAGCAGCCAGUCGUGCACUGAAAAAAAUCCAGCCACUUCAAAUGAAUUCUGAUAAUUCGGAUGAAAGCGAGCGCUUCCUUUAAACAAGUAGUGGUGGCAACUUAAAACAACUUUGUUCGCGAGUGUAUUUAUUCGACUGACAAAUAACUCAAAAUGUGAUUGAUGGCGGCCCUGACACGCUGACACAUAUAAAUGCCUGCAAAUGGAGCACGAGACGCUGCCGCUGACGUGUCAUGAGGGUCCGGAAUUUCGAAUCCGGAAUCCAUGCAUGGCUACCAGUAGCAGCAUCAGCAGCAGGAUGAGCACCCCCACCCACCUCCGCCCCCCCAGAAGUCGUGCUCCUAAUCCACCCCGGCCACAGACCAAAAAAAAAAAGUAGAGAAAAAAACCAGAAACAGAACCUUUGUUUUGGCAAUAGGCGUGCGUGAUUUUUGCGGCCGCAUCAUUACUCAACGUUC